AUUGAACGCUGGCGGCAUGCUUUACACGUGCAAGUCGAACGGCAGCGGGGAGGAGCUUGCUUCUCUGCCGGCGAGUGGCGAACGGGUGAGUAAUACAUCGGAACGUGUCGAGAAGAGGGGGAUAACCACCCGAAAGGGUGGCUAAUACCGCAUAAAUUCUGAGGAAGAAAGCUGGGGACCUGGGAAUAGGCCUAGCGCUUUUUGAGCGGCCGAUGUCGGAUUAGCUAGUUGGUGAGGUAAAGGCUCACCAAGGCGAAGAUCUGUAGCGGGUCUGAGAGGAUGAUCCGCCACACUGGGACUGAGACACGGCCCAGACUCCUACGGGAGGCAGCAGUGGGGAAUUUUGGACAAUGGGGGCAACCCUGAUCCAGCCAUGCCGCGUGUAUGAAGAAGGCCUUAGGGUUGUAAAGUACUUUUGUUAGGGAAGAAAAGUCAGCUGUGAAUAAUGGCUGAUACUGACGGUACCUAAAGAAUAAGCACCGGCUAACUACGUG
This 494-nucleotide ribosomal RNA is filed under the name uncultured bacterium. RNAcentral describes it as "partial 16S ribosomal RNA". It matches the Rfam family "Bacterial small subunit ribosomal RNA", at positions 30 to 507 of the family's 1533-position model. The record is from RNAcentral.